RNAcentral lists this ribosomal RNA (490 nucleotides) under uncultured bacterium. RNAcentral describes it as "partial 16S ribosomal RNA". It matches the Rfam family "Bacterial small subunit ribosomal RNA", at positions 30 to 507 of the family's 1533-position model. The record is from RNAcentral.
AUUGAACGCUGGCGGCAGGCCUAACACAUGCAAGUCGAACGGUAACAGGAAGAGGCUUGCUUCUUUGCUGACGAGUGGCGGAGGGGUGAGUAAUGUCUGGGAAACUGCCUGAUGGAGGGGGGUAACUACUGGAAACGGUAGCUAAAACCGCAUAACGUCGCAAGACCAAAGAGCGGGAGCUCCGUGCCUCUUGCCCGCGGGUGUGACCAGAUGGGAUUAGCUAGUAGGUGGGGUAACGGCUCACCCAGGCGACGAUCCCUAGCUGGUCUGAGAGGAUGACCAGCCACACUGGAACUGAGACACGGUCCAGACUCCUACGGGAGGCAGCAGUGGGGAAUAUUGCACAAUGGGCGCAAGCCUGAUGCAGCCAUGCCGCGUGUAUGAAGAAGGCCUUCGGGUUGUAAAGUACUUUCAGCGGGGAGGAAGGGAGUAAAGUUAAUACCUUUGCUCAUUGACGUUACCCGCAGAAGAAGCACCGGCUAACUCCGUG